AUUGAACGCUGGCGGCAGGCCUAACACAUGCAAGUCGAGCGGAUGAAGGGAGCUUGCUCCUGGAUUCAGCGGCGGACGGGUGAGUAAUGCCUAGGAAUCUGCCUGGUAGUGGGGGAUAACGUCCGGAAACGGGCGCUAAUACCGCAUACGUCCUGAGGGAGAAAGAGGGGGAUCUUCGGACCUCACGCUAUCAGAUGAGCCUAGGUCGGAUUAGCUAGUUGGUGGGGUAAAGGCCUACCAAGGCGACGAUCCGUAACUGGUCUGAGAGGAUGAUCAGUCACACUGGAACUGAGACACGGUCCAGACUCCUACGGGAGGCAGCAGUGGGGAAUAUUGGACAAUGGGCGAAAGCCUGAUCCAGCCAUGCCGCGUGUGUGAAGAAGGUCUUCGGAUUGUAAAGCACUUUAAGUUGGGAGAAAGGGCAGUAAGUUAAUACCUUGCUGUUUUGACGUUACCAACAGAAUAAGCACCGGCUAACUUCGUG
Molecule: ribosomal RNA, 484 nt
Filed under: uncultured bacterium
Lineage: Bacteria
Description: partial 16S ribosomal RNA
Rfam family: Bacterial small subunit ribosomal RNA
Source: RNAcentral